Molecule: long non-coding RNA, 856 nt
Filed under: Mytilus galloprovincialis (Mediterranean mussel)
Lineage: Eukaryota; Metazoa; Mollusca; Bivalvia; Mytilida; Mytilidae
Source: RNAcentral
GUUAUAUGAUACUUUAAAUUUAAGGAGGAUGACUAUGUUUUAGAUACUUGAAUGGCUAAGUGUAACCAUAAAACACGUGUACAACGACUUUCUUUUUAAGGGUUACUUAUUUUUCAUCACAAUCUUCAGACAUAUACUGCUUUUAAAUUGUUGUCUUCCCGUACUCAAAUUCACCAACAGAUUCUUCGUAUGCAGUGACUUUAACCAUGAUACCUUAGAAAUUCGACCAUCUCAGCGCAAAUGCGAAGGGGAAAUGCAAAGGAAGAAAGAGUCAGUAAUCGUAGAAGAAAUUUAGUAAUAUCCGAUUAGACAAAAUUUAGAACAAGGACUAACAUUUGACCUUUACCUCAUUUUCAAAGUUUGGACCCAUGGACCUCUAUUAUAAAUCCCCAUGUCUAUACGGCUUACUGGAACAUACAGAAAAAUGUAGUUGUCAGUAGUAGAUAUCUCCUAUCAGAUGUAGGUGAAUUGCUUCGGUCUAAGUCAGUCAAAAUUUCUAAAGAUGUGACGAACAAUUAGGAAAAAGAACUUGUCGGUACCUUUUUUGUUACGGAGGAAAUUUUAGAACAGUGUUUUGGGAGGUAGCUCUUACAAGGAUAAGUUUUCGGUUUAACAGGGAGAGUUUCAAAUGCACAUUAACUGUACGAUAUCAUAUACCAAAAAUCUAAGCGACAACUUGUGAUAUAAAAGGAGCGGAAGAUAAAAAAAAAUAUAAUAAUCAGCACCAAACCAUGAGGAUUUUCCACGUCAAAGAGGAAAGACCUAAUUAGUUUUUAAAAUGUUUACUCAACAAUCACUUUAUUUAUGUUGAUUAUACGUAACGGAUUCAAGCUAAAUGUAACAUUAAGUACACAAA